This 459-nucleotide ribosomal RNA is filed under the name uncultured bacterium. RNAcentral describes it as "partial 16S ribosomal RNA". It matches the Rfam family "Bacterial small subunit ribosomal RNA", at positions 338 to 795 of the family's 1533-position model. The record is from RNAcentral.
CCUACGGGAGGCAGCAGUGAGGAAUAUUGGUCAAUGGGCGGGAGCCUGAACCAGCCAAGCCGCGUGAGGGAAGAAGGUACAGCGUAUCGUAAACCUCUUUUGUCAGGGAACAAAGGCGGGGACUAGUCCCCGGAUGAGGGUACCUGAAGAAAAAGCAUCGGCUAACUCCGUGCCAGCAGCCGCGGUAAUACGGAGGAUGCGAGCGUUAUCCGGAUUUAUUGGGUUUAAAGGGUGCGCAGGCGGCCUGUUAAGUCAGCGGUAAAAGCCCGGGGCUCAACCUCUUCGAGCCGUUGAAACUGGUUUUCUUGAGUGAGUGAGAAGUAUGCGGAAUGCGUGGUGUAGCGGUGAAAUGCAUAGAUAUCACGCAGAACUCCGAUUGCGAAGGCAGCAUACCGGCGCUCAACUGACGCUCAUGCACGAAAGUGUGGGUAUCGAACAGGAUUAGAUACCCUUGUAGUC